This 473-nucleotide long non-coding RNA is filed under the name Capsella rubella. Its description in RNAcentral is "long non-coding RNA (CRUB_LNC003905)". Lineage: Eukaryota; Viridiplantae; Streptophyta; Magnoliopsida; Brassicales; Brassicaceae. The record is from RNAcentral.
GCAAAGAAAUCUUCAACAUCCUUUGGUUGAGGAUCAGAGUCGACAAAAUCAAAGAAGUCAUCGAAGUCAUUAAAGUCAUCAUCAUCCAUGUCAUAAGGCAAACACUGCUGCUCCUGAUGUUGUGUUGGUGGUAAGGAACACUUAGGUUGCUGCUCCUGAUGAUGUUGAGUUAGUACUGGUAAGGAACACUUAGGUUGCUGCUCCUGAUGAUGUUGAGUUAGUGGUAAGGAACACUUAGGUUGCUGCACCUGAUGAUGUUGUGUUAAUGGUAAGGAACACUUAGGUUGCUGCUCCUGAUGAUGUUGAGUUAGUGGUAAGGAACACUUAGGUUGCUGCUCCUGAUGAUGUUGUGUUAAUGGUAAGGAACACUUAGGUUGCUCCAGCUGCUUCACCUCCACUUUCAAUUUGCCUUUCCCUUUCUUCGCCUUCGACAUCGCCUUUUCCUCAUCUUUCAUCAACUUUACCGACGAUGG